UCUAUUUUGUCAGAUAAUAUGUACUAGAUUUAGGAUCUAGUUAAAUAGAGUAAAUUCUAUAAAUAGAAAAGCAAUUUAAGCUAAUUGUUUU
RNAcentral lists this transfer RNA (91 nucleotides) under Polybius henslowii. RNAcentral describes it as "transfer RNA-Val". The record is from RNAcentral. Lineage: Eukaryota; Metazoa; Arthropoda; Malacostraca; Decapoda; Polybiidae.